GCGUUAAUCUGCGGUCGAGAUUCUACGGGAGGCAGCAGUGGGGAAUAUUGGACAAUGGGGGAAACCCUGAUCCAGCCAUGCCGCGUGUGUGAAGAAGGCCUUUUGGUUGUAAAGCACUUUAAGCAGUGAAGAAGACUCUUCGGUUAAUACCCGGAGACGAUGACAUUAGCUGCAGAAUAAGCACCGGCUAACUCUGUGCCAGCAGCCGCGGUAAUACAGAGGGUGCAAGCGUUAAUCGGAAUUACUGGGCGUAAAGCGAGCGUAGGUGGCUUGAUAAGUCAGAUGUGAAAUCCCCGGGCUUAACCUGGGAACUGCAUCUGAAACUGUUAGGCUAGAGUAGGUGAGAGGGAAGUAGAAUUUCAGGUGUAGCGGUGAAAUGCGUAGAGAUCUGAAGGAAUACCGAUGGCGAAGGCAGCUUCCUGGCAUCAUACUGACACUGAGGCUCGAAAGCGUGGGUAGCAAACAGGAUUAGAUACCCUGGUAGUCCACGCCGUAAACGAUGUCUACUAGUCGUUGGGUCCCUUGAGGACUUAGUGACGCAGCUAACGCAAUAAGUAGACCGCCUGGGGAGUACGGCCGCAAGGUUAAAACUCAAAUGAAUUGACGG
RNAcentral lists this ribosomal RNA (607 nucleotides) under uncultured Psychrobacter sp. RNAcentral's name for it is "bacterial SSU rRNA". It matches the Rfam family "Bacterial small subunit ribosomal RNA", at positions 316 to 916 of the family's 1533-position model. The record is from RNAcentral. Lineage: Bacteria; Pseudomonadati; Pseudomonadota; Gammaproteobacteria; Moraxellales; Moraxellaceae.